This is a long non-coding RNA of Telopea speciosissima, 104 nucleotides long. RefSeq lists it as uncharacterized. Lineage: Eukaryota; Viridiplantae; Streptophyta; Magnoliopsida; Proteales; Proteaceae. The record is from RefSeq and is a predicted model, not a curated record. The transcript is spliced from 3 exons.
CUAGGUAUUAUGUGGACAAAUGGUUUCUCAGGUCCAUCCAUAAGGGUCAACAUUACACGUUGUUCUUCAACUACUGCAGUAGUGCUUGGGGCAUUCUGGAUAUG